GUUUGUUCUCCAACAACGCUCAGCUAUGAACACUCUCAUCACCAUUUACUGUCUCAGUGUGAUAUUGUUCUUACUAUAGGAGAUUCAAAAGCUCGUAUCUAGGCUACUCCGCAUUGAAAUCCUUUCCUGCCUUUAAGAGUCUAGCUAAUGUUACAUUGAGUUGGUCACAACAGUAACCAUAACUAUCAGCCAACGUAAUCUGAGGGUGUGAAUAAAACACUUAUUACACAGCUGUACAGCAUAGAGUUCUCCAACAAACUUCAGCUAGUAUUGUUUAGCUGAUUUAACAGUUUGAAGUAUUCACAGCGUUUAAAUCAUGCAGUGAUACUAAACUACAUUAUUGUGAUCAGCACACUACUGUUGGCAAUAGUACAUUCACUGUACAGCAUUGUAGCCUAUAGCUGCCGUUCAUUAACACAUUAAGUUUGGUGGGUUACCUUACUAACCGCUAUUUUCUUUUUUAUUUAGUUCCAGAUUAAAAGCUAAAUUUUAUAAUCUUGGGAAAUUGGGAAUGAGUUACUAUAUUCUUCCCGUUCUGUUUCUCUCCUGAGAGAGGGAAACUCACUCUAUUAGGAUAAUAUACUUAAUCCUACUUUUCUCCUGCCUUCUCUCUACUUUUGUAGUUUGUAAAAGUUGCAGUACUCCUAUCUGCAGCCUUCUAACUCCGCCCAGACUUUCUGUGUCUGUCCAAUCACAGCCAUUGCAGCUCAAUGAGAAGUCUUUGUAAGGCAGGUGCUCAGGGCAAUUGCUGCCUCUUGAAUGUAUCUUCCAUGAGCUAAACAAACCAGGAAGUAACCGGAACUGCUGUCUGAUUGACGGCCGGGGGGGGGGUUAACAAAAUUAAUUCAUAAAAGUUUCUAUUUCUAUUGAUAUCUGCACUUUUUUCAAAAUGGAAAAUAAAAGAGACCACACUUCACAUUAUGCUUUUCAGCAAGCUACAGUGUUUUAGGGGUCUGGAGUGACCCUUUAACACAGCCAAGACCCAUGUGAACUAAAGCCCAAAGUAUCCGUGCCAGAACCUGAAGCAGGGAAUCUCAUCCAAAACCUCUGCUCUAAAAGGGAGUUGCAUACCUUCUAACAAUGUACCCGAGGCACCUGUGCUGCUCUCAUGCUUACUGUGCCAUCUGGAAUACAAAGGGUUAAAGGGACAAUAUAAUCACCAGAACAACUACAGCUUAUUGAAUUAGUUCUGGUGAGUAGAAUCAUUACCAUCAGGCUUUUUGCUGUAAACACUGUCUUUUCAGAGAAAACGCAGUGUUUACAUUACAGCCUAGUGAUAACUUCACUGGCCACUCCUCAGAUGGCUGUUAGAGAUCCUUCCUGGGUCAUGGCUGCCUAAAAUGUAUCCAAACAUUCAGUAUGUCCUCCCUCUGCAUGCAGACACUGAACUUUCCUCAUAGAGAUUCAUUGAUUCAAUUCAUCUCUAUGAGGAGAUGCUGAUUGGCCAGGGCUGUGUUUGAAUCAUGCUGGCUCUGCCCCGAUCUGCCUCUUUGUCAGUCUCAGCCAAUCCUAUGGGGAAGCACUGUGAUUCGAUCAGGCCACCACUUCUGAUGAUGUCAGAGUUAGGUCACAGGCAGAGGCAGCAGCUUCAGAGUUGAAUACAAGUACGAUUUUACUAUCUUUAGGGAGGCAAAGGGGGCCAAGGAGGCAAGAUAGUGGUUUUAACACUAUAAAGUCAGGAAUACAUGUUUGUGUUCCUGACCCUAUACUGCUCCUUUAACAUGAAUCGAUGACUGGCAGCAGUAAUGCGUCAACGCCCUCAGCGGUGAACCCUGCUCUCAGAUAACGGAAAAUAAACAGAGGCACCAUAAAUCUCUGGCUUAACUACUAGUGUUCCUUUAAGCAAUAAACAUAGAAUUAACUACAGAAAUAAAGGACAUAUUUCAUCGUUUCUGCCACGCCAACAGCACGAACAUAAUGUGUCGUCCAUCUAUAUAUCGCGUCUCCGUGAAUUCCCAGUGUCCAUGUUGUAAGAAAGCAGGGUAUCGACACUCAGCUUAGACAUCGAGGGCACGGUAUAAAGGGCAAAGCUGGCAUAUAAAUAAGGCUAUUCUAAAUCCAUACAGGACUUUCUGUGCAAGUGGUAAGCAUUCCUCUCCAUAAACAAACACUAAAAGGAGUUUCUGUUAGAUCCUCUGAGCUCAGUGACCAAGAGAGUAACCGGCCCCAUCAGACUGUCUCACUGCAGAGGGCUCAAAAAAAAAGACAAAAAGAUUAAUUUCUAGACGGUGAGUUGCAAUGUUGCAGAUUUCAGUAAAAACCGGUCAGCUAAUCUACGUAAACCCAUGGUGUGCAAGGAUUUCUGGGAUAUGGAACGUGCGCACAGCAAGCAGUGGAACAAGAACUGUCUGAGCUGUUUGUAGGAUAUCGGGCAAGGCUUUUUACAGUUAUCCAUCACAGCUCCCAAAUACCUGUCACACUGACAGAUACAUCUCUGGCGUACCGCAAGGAAAUACUCUGCAUUGUAAGACCAACACACAGGAAUGUUUAUCUGCAAAUGGCCACAAUCGGCUCGCAGUCAUGGGAGGCAGACAGAAAUCUAUAGAUAGUGAGCACUCACGGCUCUUGCAGGGCUUUAAAUUUAACUUUUAUUGCAGAAUCAGCGUUUCAGUUUAAAAAUAUAAACUUUCCUCAGGAUAAAAGUAUAUAUGUUGCUGCUGCAAUAAAUGUUAUAUUUGAUCGACUGCAAGCGAUGGCAUGAGUGCAGACAAUCUAUGGAUUUUAUUCAUAUAUAGAUCUUUCAACGUAUGUACAUGUUAAGCUUUUGUCCUG
This 2772-nucleotide long non-coding RNA is filed under the name Pelobates cultripes (western spadefoot toad). The record is from RNAcentral. Lineage: Eukaryota; Metazoa; Chordata; Amphibia; Anura; Pelobatidae.